RNAcentral lists this long non-coding RNA (1180 nucleotides) under Equus caballus (horse). RNAcentral's name for it is "lncRNA (ENSECAG00000048923.1)". Lineage: Eukaryota; Metazoa; Chordata; Mammalia; Perissodactyla; Equidae. The record is from RNAcentral.
AGAAGGACAUGGCGUAGCCAUGAAGCCUCCGCCAAUUUCAGGCGAAUGUUAAAUACUGUUAAGGGGAGAGUAAUGUGGAUGUUUAAGGAAGCUGCCCUGUUGGGACAAGAAGCUAACCAGCAGAUUUACACUCCCUCUGCUGCAUGCCUCCAAGAAACACGUCCUUGUACUGGUACCAUCGGGGCUUCAGGGACCUGUCUUCUCUUUCUGACUCACUCCUUGGUCCUGGGAAAUGAAGAUAAUAGCCUCACCUGUGAGCAUAUUACUACCAAACUCCAACGAGGGCCACAGUCAACACCAGCGGGACGGCGGUGGAUGCUAUUGUCUUACCUGCCAAUGUGCACCUUGAAGAUGCCUGUUGUAUGAGAAGACCUGGAGUUCAGUAUGAUUGAACCUCUGCUUCAACCUGCAGCUCCUAAGAACAGACUUAGCUCACUGAGUCUUUUCUCUUCUCUGCAAUGCAGACCCGGAUAUGCAGUCGAGGAACUCUCAACUGUUGGCAACAGCUCCAGCGCCAGAAGCGCAAAGAAGUAGCCAGUUUCUGAAACAGGCAGCAAUUGUAAAAACUCCUGUUUCAAGAGGGCAAAUCUGAUUUCUUGCUCCAGAGAAGAAGCAAGCAGCCAAGCUUGGCACUGUAGACGUGAAGAAAGCAGUGUCUUCUCACUGCGUCCAGGAAGGAGUCACAGGUGUCAGUCCCCUGGAAUCAACAGUCUAGCUGUUUGUCAUGAGAAUCAACAACAGAAAAGUAUCGAAUUUCAAUAAGAAAAUUGGAAUGGAUGGACCAGAGAAUCUUGCCUUUCCAUGUAAAAAUCGCAGUACCAUAGGAAAAAACUCAGAAAUGACUGGAGGGGGACACUUUGAUGUGAAAUAAUCUUUAACAAGUAGGAUGGUGGGUGCUCAUUCUGUAAUAACGUUGUAAAGGAAGCAUAAGGAGGCCAGGUUGCUGCUAUCAGCAGGUGAGGCCAAUAACCAAGAUGUUAUACUUAGAUAUCCAUAAUCAGUCAAUUGAAUAAGCUGAACUUGGUAAGAUGUGAGCAAAAACCUACUGUGUUCUUUGGCAUCACUUUUCUUUGAAUUUCUCUCUUGAUUUAUUCCUCCUUGUCUGCAAUUAAAUCUCAGGAAGUUCUCAUAGUUUCAUAAACUUUGUUACUAAACAAAUAGCCUUUGCCCCAUAUUCAAA